This is an RNA transcript of Schistocerca americana (American grasshopper), 3064 nucleotides long. It is a transcript of the gene named 2',5'-phosphodiesterase 12-like, with no coding region annotated. Lineage: Eukaryota; Metazoa; Arthropoda; Insecta; Orthoptera; Acrididae. The record is from RefSeq and is a predicted model, not a curated record. The transcript is spliced from 9 exons.
AAAGGCAUCGUGUGGACACACCUUAAUAUAGAUACCAAAAUGUUAUCUGUACUGAGAUACAAUUAUAUGUAGUUAGCAUUCUCUUCAUUCUGGGGGAAGUUCCGCUCAUAAAUAGAUGAAAUUAUCAAUAACUGCGACACGAACUGCAAAGUAACAAUUUGUUCGUCGUCGUUGCCAUGGUAACGCGUAACGUCAAUAUAGAUAGAGUGACAUACAGUAUUGGGUGUUUUUAUUAUGUUGUGUGAGAUCGUUGAAUUCUUACGAGAACACCUGUGCGUGAUACUGAUGAAAGUGAUGCGGAUGAAACAUGAAUAUAAUUUGGUAACAUUUUAUCUCAGAUCUAAACCGAAAAUCGUUUUAUAAGGUAAGAUACUUUAACUCGAAAUGACAGACAACGAAAACCCGAAUGUAUUUUUCAGCCGUAUUAAGGAGGACAAAUACCUGCUUGUGUGUUUCCAGUUCCAGAGUGAGUCACGUAAGAUAGACGAUUAUUGCAGUGUUGUUGCAAAAUUGACUGCAACCGCCGAUUAUUUGUUGAAUAAAAUUGUCAUUUGUAUCACCAACAAAGUAAAGGAGUUAAAAGACGCAGGAGGCGCACUAGGAGAUGUAGACGUUGAAUCCAUAUCUGCUAAAUUCUAUAGUAACGAUUGUCCAGUAUCCGCUGAUUGUUUAUGUAUGGACUUGCCGUUUUGGGUGGGCGACGAAAUGCAUUUGCGUAUUGGCAGUGUUCGAUAUAAUAUCGUGUUGAAUGGCCCAUGCGUAGAUGAAAUAAUCCUUCCAAGAGUCAUAAUAGUUGGUUUUCCGAUUUCCCCAUUUACUUUUAAGACUUCAUAUACGAAUGUGGGAGAUUGCGAGUUUCUGUGGUACAGGAAAAAACAGGGUGACUUCGAAUUAAUAGGAAAUGGUUAUUCCUAUACACCUACGACCGAAGAUGUUGGUUGUAUACUGAAGCUCAUCUGUAUUCCUGGAAACGGCGAUGUGAAAGGACCAAAGGUGGAAACAGUGUCGAAGAAAUGUGUGAAAGAAGGUCCAAAAAAGUUUCCAUUCGAAGACCGUCAUAUAUUCACACAAACAGGAGCAGCUCCUGGAAGUUUCAGAAUAAUGACCUAUAACAUACUGGCUGACUUCUGUGCUGGUACACCUAAGCUUCGUAAAGAACGAUUUCCAUAUUGUCCUCCUCAUGCUCUGAACAUAAACUACAGGAAACAGUUAUUACAAAAGGAAAUUAUAGGUUACAAUGUUGACAUCAUGUGUCUGCAGGAAGUUGACAAAAGUGUGUAUCAAGAUCAUUUGCUUCCGCUUCUUUCAACCAGAUACAAUGGAACUUUCAAAGUUAAAGGAACCAAGAUAACAGAAGGCUUGGCAUGUUUUUAUGACAAAUCUAAAUUUCGGUUGAAGGAGCAGCAUGGAAUUACACUUGCUCAUGAAUUACAAAUUAAUCCACGGUUACGUAACUUGUGGACUCUCAUGAAACCAGAAGUUGAAAAAAUACCUCGUUUUUUGAAAGCAGCAACUUCGUUACAGAUAGCUGUGUUGGUAUCUCUUGAAGAGGAGGAUAAUUGUGUGAUAAUUGCUAACACACAUUUACGCUCCUGGCCGGAACCUGAUUAUUUUCGUGCUCUGCAAGCUUCUGUUGCUCUUGCAUAUCUCCAGUCUGUUGUGGGAGAUAUUUCAAAGAAGAUGCCAGAAAAGAAAAUUGCUACAAUUUUGUGUGGUGAUUUCAACAGCACACCUGACAGCUGUGUGUAUGAACUGAUGGUUAACCAGUCUAUAGCGGAAAAUCAUCCUUGCUGGUCAGAAGAAGAAAAUAAAGACAUAAAAGGCAUAAAUUUAUCACACAAUUUCAAUUUUGGAAGUGCUUAUGGGACUCCAGACUUCACAAAUUAUACCCAUGACUUCAUUGGUUGUUUAGAUUAUAUAUUUCACCAGAAAGAUGCUUUACAGAUUUUGCAGUCCUCUUUGUUUGUAGAUUGUGCCUUUACCUCAUGAAGAAGAAGUCAAGGAACAUGAAGCAAUACCAAGUGUAGUUUUUCCAUCUGAUCAUUUAGCAUUAAUAGCUGAUAUCUGCUGGAUUUGAAAUGUUCUUUAUCAUGUUUACACUGAUGGUAGUUCCACCUUCAGAAUUUGGAUCCAAAGACUGAUCAACAACAAUAAAGCUCACUUGUUGUACCUGUAUCAACAAAACCAAAGGAACACUCGGUAUUAAGACAAUUUUUGCAAUUUAAAAAAUAAUAAUCAUAUGUUGUUCUUACUAUGUAUUUUUGUUGCAAAUGGAAAUUUAUUUUAUUUUAUAUUAUUUUUAAGAUAUAAUGUGUAGUGCUUUCCUUGUACUAGAGAAUCAUAUUAACAGGCAGGUACCAAAUGCCUGGCUGGUAUGAUACUGAGGUAGAUGAAUGUUAGAUUAGAAAGGUUGUUCACAUUGUUUUGAUAAAGAAAAGUAUCUGCCAUAAAUACUAGCAUUCCCUAAAGAUACGCAACAGACACAAACAUGAACAAAAUGUGAAACAAACAGAAGUUUCAUCUGACAAAGAAUUGGAGAGAACAGUUCUGUUCAAGAGGAUGAAAAGUAACCCAGUAUAAGAGAGAAAUUUAUCCUUAAUUUACGAUUUUGGGUAUUACUAACAUUUAAUAUUUGAUAUUUCCUUUGUCGUGGAAAGGUUCACACUCACUGUAAAGAUAGUGAUUUUAUACCAUUGUCUUUCCUGCUGGAUGCAGAAAUAUUUGCAAAAACUAACAAUUUAAUCACAUUUCGGUCAUUUGUGUCUGCUGUACACCAGGUUUUUAAAACCUUUACUACAUUGUUCAGAUGGCAUGUAAUUUUUAAACUGAGUAAUAAUUGGACUGUUUUAGUUCUGUUUACUUUUUUAUCGGCUCCAUUUUUAUCUCAUAACAACUUUAAAAUUGUGUAUUUGUCUAAAUGUUUUUAUGACUGUAUAUUACAUAAAAUACUUUGAAAUUACAUUCAUACAUACAACUGGCACUCUACAAUUCCCAGUGUAAAACCAUGGUGUCUAAAGUCAGACCAAACAAGCUGUAUUUUAAAUAAAUUUUAUUUCAUUCAGUA